UACGUCUAAACCGUUACACACUCUAUAUAUAAACGAAGGAAGAUCACACGUGAAAAUAGUCAUCAACCAAAGUAAGAAGCGCACACACACAACAUAUUUCUUUCACUACCCAAAGAGAUGGCGACAUCGGGAACAUAUGUGACGGAGGUUCCAUUGAAAGGAUCGGCGGAUAAACACUACAAGCGGUGGAGAGAUGAGAACCACCUCUUCCCCGAUGCCAUCGGCCACCACAUCCAAGGUGUCACUGUCCACGACGGUGAAUGGGACUCUCAUGAAGCCAUCAAGAUUUGGAACUAUACAUGCGGUAAAAAUACAUUUAUAUGGAAUCCAAAGAAUGGUGCUAACUUAAUGAAUGAAACAAAUAUGUACGCAUAUAUGUGCAGAUGGGAAACCGGAAGUGUUCAAGGAAAGGAAAGAGAUAGACGAUGAGAAUAUGGUGAUAACGUUCAGAGGACUAGAAGGUCACGUCAUGGAGCAGCUUAAAGUGUAUGAUCUCAUAUAUCAGUUCAGCCAAAAGUCUCCCGAUGAUAUCGUAUGCAAGAUCACAAUGAUUUGGGAGAAGCGAACCGAUGAUUCGCCUGAGCCUAGCAACUACAU
Molecule: small RNA, 597 nt
Filed under: Arabidopsis thaliana (thale cress)
Lineage: Eukaryota; Viridiplantae; Streptophyta; Magnoliopsida; Brassicales; Brassicaceae
Description: ATSL077790
Source: RNAcentral